CCCGAUCAGCAGGUACUCAGUAAACCAUCAGGUAAAGUCCUGUACAUUCACUCUACAUACGGACAUACCUUGCUGCUAAAGCAGCGAUACAUUACAUAGACAGAAGACAAUCAGACUGUCAGCAAAUCCACGCAGCGCAAGUCGUUUCUCAAGGUCAAGCUUGCACUGUCACAGGUCAACCAAGCCCAGAUGGUUGCUUUGAUGGCCACCACCAGUCUGGGAACAUCAUAACUACCUCCUUGGAAUAUCACCUCAUUUCGAGAUCACCACCCAUAGAGAUGCAUGAGGGACUAAGUUCCAACCUUGACUCCCUGACCAUCCCACAGUGAAAAUCAAGCUAGGUUGCUGGUUUCUGGUUGGAGUUCCAUUGAAGUCAUGGCGAUGCUGACAAUUCUCAUCCUGGAUCGAGAGAGAUUUAUGGAUUAUUGAAUCAAUUGUAAAAGGAAAUGAUUAUGUCAAAAUAUAGAGCUUCUUCCCUUUAGCAUUUUAGAUUACUUUGUAGGCCAUGGAUUACUCUAGAUGGACUUUUGAAAUAAUUAUUAUUCAUCAUCAACUUUUCAAGGAUUCUGGAGCAAAAAUCACCACCUACAUGGAGGGUGAAAGACCUUGUGGAUGACAUAAGGAUGAAUUUAGAGAAGCUUACGGAGACAGACUUAUUGCACACUUUCAGAGAGAGUAAUCAGGUAGCAGAUCACCUUGCUAAUCUGGGUGCUCUCAUGGAGGGUGCACCGACUUUUUGUAAUCCCUUAAGUGAGGAGUUGAGUAUGCUUGUUACUAACGAUGCCUCUGGCAAGUUGUACACUAGACAUUAAGUCUGAAAGUUCUGAGUUAAUAAUAAUCUGGUCGGGGUCUGCCUAACCCCAGCUUGCAAUUUGCAAAAAAAACUUUUCAACACUGAAUUGCUCCAUGUCAAUAUGUCAUAUACAUAGUUCCGUUUACUGAUAUUUCAGUAAAGCACCUAGUAUGCAGACAGAAAACAUAAUAAUAUGACUGAGUAUUUUGUAAUAUCUAACGUUACUUUCCUCAAAGAAGUUUACCUGAAAACGUUAAGAAGCAACUUAAGGGUGUUCCUAAGCUCUUGUUGUGACUUGUGCGGAUGUUCGUUUGCAAGAGCAACCUCUCAAUCAUCGUCUACCAUAGGAUUCGACACUGGCCUCUGUAGCUUCUCAACCUUAAAAAACCAAAUGCAACUAUGUUGAGUUCAAAGUGAAAGAAGGUAAGAAAAACAUUCACCUAAUGGAAUCGAUGCAGUGUUCUCCAAAAGAACAGGGCUACACAUAUACUGAUAAAGCUGAUAGAAUCUCUGGAUACUAAGACCAAGCCAGCCUUCAUAGCUGGAAGACCAGUCUAGUGAAGGUGUAGGUAGUCAGUCCAGCCAAGAUCGAAAGCGGCCGCGUAUAUGAAGCUGAUGCUAGCCCAACAUCCCCUAAGAUCGAUCGGAGUAGAGAUAAGAUUAAGAAGCCAUAGGAAGGGAUGAAGCGGGGCAAUCAAUCAAGGUACCUGAGGUCAGAAAUAUAGCAUCACACUUCAGUACAGCAUCCACGAAAAAAAAACAUUUACAACCCUAUAAAUACACAGCACUGAGCGGUCAGUAGGUGCAACACCAGAGCAGAGCAAAUGGGAACUUGCAGGAUGAGAAAUGUAACACUACAUAAAGUAACAGUCCUUUUACUGACCACAGGCUCCUUGAGCACUGAACAAGUGAGCAGCAUUUCCUCCUUUCCUUGGAUGUACUCGCUCAAAAAGAAAUUUUAUUUAUGCGCUCAAUAAUUGAUAACUCCAUAUAACAUCGCUGCAAUUGGUGGUAAUCGGCAAUAUCAACUUAAUGUAUGUAAUUACUUCAUGAGAUGGCCUGGGAGCCAAAAAAAUCAACAUAUAUAGCUACAGACCCCCAAGAGAGGUUCAGAUAGCAAAAGCCCUGGAAACUACUCCAUGGAAAUCUGCUAACCUGGUGGCUGCUUUACAUCUUGUGUUGACUCAAUUGGAAGACUAUGGAAUUGUGCACAUUCAUGAGAAGCAGAUCAAGCAGCUGAUAAUCUGGCUUCUGAAAAGUGCUAGAUAGAACAAAAUGAAGCUUCUUUGUCCCUCCCCUGAAUAUGUAAGAUUAUGAGUUAACAAUACAGGUAAGCAGUCGGCCUAACCCAAUUUCAAAAGAAAAGUCCGAAGCAUAUACUUUUGUUUUCAUAAUGCAAGCCGGUGUUUUAUUGAUAAAUAAUAAAAAUUACAGCUCAGGCAUGUUGCCUUACAAUCAAAAUAACAUUUAGGCAGUUUCCACUUCCCAGAGGGAAAACUUAUAGCUGUGCACUCAUACUGCUCCCUCGACCAACUUUAUAAAAAAUACGAUAAAACAUGUGGAGCAAUCUAAAUUCUAGUUUAUAAUCCAAGGAGGUACCACAAACUAGCUACCACUGCAACAAUAAUAGAUUUUUUGAUCAUUCAAUGCAAAAGGUUCAACAAUCACUAGCUUGAUCGAAGAAGUUUUGCAACACCGCCACAAAUAAGAAGGCCUCACUCAAUCCAAACUGACAAGGCUAUUGGAAUGAAGUAUAUAUGGUUUGCAGUUUGCACAAUAUCUGGUCCUUUUUGAGAAUUCCGAUUUUCGUGCAUUUCUGGCUCUUCAAAUCAUAGAGCAACAGCUGAUCUUCGUCAUGUACGAGAACUUUCACUUUCACGAGAUCUAGUAAGUUCCUGCUAUCAAAAUCUCUCAUGGCAACAAGGCAAAUGUCGUCGAACAAGAAGCUGCUUAGAAAGCAAGGUCGGUUCGACAAGGACGGAAGAGAAAUUGCAUGAGAUUUGGUCCACACACACUUAAGUCUAUCCUCCAAAACAAACAAACAUCUCAAGUUUAAAUUGAUCGACAGUGGUGACUGGUGAGGCACAAUAAUCCUCUAACCUCUGAUAAUAGGUGGAGAACAUUGGACCUCACAAGAUCAAACAUGUCACGCAAGUUCACCAGACGUAGUGGAAUUUUUACCUUGUUAAACAUCCUCGUCUCGAUAUGUAUUGAAUAAAUGCAGUAGCAUUCUUUGGUGGACAGAGCACCAGACUCACCAUCAUCUUCAUCUUUAGCCAACCAAUGCAACUCAUUUUGAAAAAGAAGGAUUUGGGACAAUAUGAUGAAGUAUGGCAGGUGUUUAUUCUGAUCAAUAGAGCAAAACUCCCACUCAUGAUCUCCCAAAGUAAGCACAGUAAAUGCGGGCUGAGACACAAUUCCAAACACCUUGUUGUAUCUAUCAAUGAGAGUAUCACGAACCAAAGCCAAAUGACCACCUUGGCAAGUACGCGUCAAAAGAGGAAGAGGCUUAAACAUAAAGUGACAAGGUUGGAGAUGUAACUGUCUAACUUUUAUGCUCACUAUGGACCUGGAACUAACAACUUGGCAAAGACUACGGCCAUCUUGGAUGGUGUAGCUCUUUGCUCCCUGCUAGGCUAUACUAAUGUCCAAGUUCAAACUGAUUCCAAAAUGGCUCUACUAUGGCUAAAGGAGGAGCUACCUAUUCCAUGGUCUCUUAAAAAUUGGUGGGCACAUUUCAGAGUUCUGACAACAUCUAUGACUGUCAGGGCUAUUCAUGUGUAUAGGGAGGGGAAUAAUGCUGCAGAUUAUUUAUCCAAGCAAGACUUAAAGUACAAAUCUAUGGGGGCUGUGAACUAUCAUGUAGAUGAAGACCUCAAGCUAUCAAUCACAAGUGACAAGUUCAACAUUCCAUACAUCAGACAUGUCCAACAAUAACAUAGAAAGCAGAUUACAAGUUCAAAUCAAGGUUUAUGCUGACACAGUUUGUGCAUUUCUGGAACUGGGAAGGACACAACCAAGGUCUAGCAGCAGGAAAGACUUAAAAGAGAUCACAAGAUUAGAAACUUACAAGGUUUCAGAGUCUGGGCUUCUUAACAUUCCUACCAUCUUCAAUACCAUCCACAGCUUCAGCUUCAGCUUCCUCAUCUUCAUCAGUACCUGCAUCAUUGUUAGAUAUCUCUCCAAGAGUGGUGGAUGCAAGCAGACAACUCUCACAAUGGGUUAUAGUGUUUCAAAGUGCACAUCACACAUAGAUCUCUGAACCGACAGCCAGGUCUGAUCGAAAAUCAUAGCUGCAAUCACACUGUGCUCACCAGAAGAAGCAGAAUCGCUGGAAGAAGAAGAGGCAGCCAUUUUUGUUCUAAGCUGCUUUUGC
Molecule: long non-coding RNA, 4169 nt
Filed under: Aquilegia coerulea
Lineage: Eukaryota; Viridiplantae; Streptophyta; Magnoliopsida; Ranunculales; Ranunculaceae
Description: long non-coding RNA (ACOE_LNC000007)
Source: RNAcentral